Long non-coding RNA from Helicoverpa armigera (cotton bollworm), 499 nucleotides. RefSeq lists it as uncharacterized. Lineage: Eukaryota; Metazoa; Arthropoda; Insecta; Lepidoptera; Noctuidae. The record is from RefSeq and is a predicted model, not a curated record. The transcript has 2 exons.
GCAAGUAGGGGAGAGCGGGGCUGAAAGUGCCGGGGGUAAAUUGUGCCGACGCGAAUAUCUCAAAAACAGAAAGAGAUAGAUAUACGAUCGUAUUGUGUCGCGUAAGGCCUAACAGUCGCGCACACGCGGCUGCCAUUUUAGUUGCGUCAGCGACGCGGACCGAGUCGUACUGCAUGUGAGGGUCCUCCAGCGCCACUACUGUUUAUAUUUACGCGAACAAUUAUGAAAGAAAGAAAAUAUGCAGUUUCCAGCCUCCUCAAUCAGUUGAUAAUAACACAGGAGAUAAAAAUGCAGCAGUUUUCUCACCAGAGCUAAUAAGACCUAAAGCACCUCCCCGACUAAUUGGACAUACUAAAGCACGUAAAAGAAAGACAGCUGUUCCUACGGACACUCCAGAGAAAAAUGCUUUAGCAGAAGAACAGGCUAGUAAAAAGAAGAAAAAAGAAAGCGAAAAUAAAAAGAAGGUUAAGGGAAAAGGGACGGGAAAAUGCAAGGGAAA